RNAcentral lists this ribosomal RNA (468 nucleotides) under uncultured bacterium. RNAcentral's name for it is "partial 16S ribosomal RNA". It matches the Rfam family "Bacterial small subunit ribosomal RNA", at positions 28 to 507 of the family's 1533-position model. The record is from RNAcentral.
GACGAACGCUGGCGGCGUGCUUAACACAUGCAAGUCGAACGGAAAGGCCCUGCUUUUGUGGGGUGCUCGAGUGGCGAACGGGUGAGUAACACGUGAGUAACCUGCCCUUGACUUUGGGAUAACUUCAGGAAACUGGGGCUAAUACCGGAUAGGAGCUCCUGCUGCAUGGUGGGGGUUGGAAAGUUUCGGCGGUUGGGGAUGGACUCGCGGCUUAUCAGCUUGUUGGUGGGGUAGUGGCUUACCAAGGCUUUGACGGGUAGCCGGCCUGAGAGGGUGACCGGGCUCAUUGGGACUGAGAUACGGCCCAGACUCCUACGGGAGGCAGCAGUGGGGAAUAUUGCACAAUGGGCGGAAGCCUGAUGCAGCAACGCCGCGUGCGGGAUGACGGCCUUCGGGUUGUAAACCGCUUUCGCAUGUGACGAAGCGUGAGUGACGGUAAUGAGUAAAGAAGCACCGGCUAACUACGUG